UACGUAGGUGGCAAGCGUUGUCCGGAUUUACUGGGCGUAAAGGGCGUGCAGGCGGUCUGUUAAGUUCAGGGUGAAAGCUCCCGGCUCAACUGGGAGAGGUCCUUGGAUACUGGCAGACUUGAGGGAGGUAGAGGAGAGUGGAAUUCCCGGUGUAGUGGUGAUAUGCGUAGAUAUCGGGAGGAACACCGGUGGCGAAGGCGGCCCCCUGGUUGGAUACUGACGCUGAGACGCGAAAGCGUGGGGAGCAAACAGG
RNAcentral lists this ribosomal RNA (253 nucleotides) under uncultured bacterium. RNAcentral describes it as "partial 16S ribosomal RNA". It matches the Rfam family "Bacterial small subunit ribosomal RNA", at positions 524 to 776 of the family's 1533-position model. The record is from RNAcentral.